Molecule: long non-coding RNA, 1072 nt
Filed under: Homo sapiens (human)
Lineage: Eukaryota; Metazoa; Chordata; Mammalia; Primates; Hominidae
Description: HSALNT0365875
Source: RNAcentral
GAAGUGCUCAGGUUCUGUAUGAUUUGGAGCGGGGAGGAUGGCCCAAUUUACUUUGAAAGAUGCUUGUUAAUUUGGGGGAUUCUGAGAUUUGCCCAAGAAAUUUGUCACAGAGCAGAUUCCAGAAGGACUUUGCCGCUUCUGAUUUUCUACUUAAUUUGCGCCUGAUCAAAAACUAAUGGCUCCCUUAAAGACUCAGGUACGUGACAUACAUUUCUCAAUCUAACACUGACUUCCAAGCACCUGGUUCCAGUGGUAAUAUUCUGUAAUCAGACUGAAGAUGGGAAACCUUGUGGGGAGGAGAUACACAUUCAGACCCCGGCAAGGGUGUGAUGGAGAAUCUGGCAGAGGAGGAAGAAGGCAGGCAGCAGAUUGAAGUUGGCCAGGCAUCAAGUUCUGAAAUAUUCUGAAACAUUCAAAUGUGACUGUUCUCAGAUGUCCCAGCUAUCCCUGCAACAGCCUAUCAGAAUCCUGAGCUCUCCUGUGCUCAGACAAAAUAAACCACACCCCUUCCCUUCCUCCAUCAGGCAAAGUAGACGGGAUGCCUACAUCAAGUUAACUACGUUGUGGACAAAAUGCAGGGCUCAGAUUUGAACUUGCAAACUCUCAGUGUUAUUCCAUCCACGGAUUCUUCACGGGCUUGUGCUCCUGACCACUGCCUACUCACAGGACAUCAGAACAGUUAAUAUCUCCAGAGAGCAUGUAAAUCCCCCAAUAAUUAUGGAAGUAAAAUGCAUUUACAGGCACAACCCUUAUUAGCAAGGCAGCCACCAUAACAAAGUUACGAGGAAAAGGAAAAUCCUCAUGUGUAUUCAUAAGAAGAAAAUAGCUAACCCCAAAUAAUCACAAUGCUAAAUAUGCAUCUCCCUAGGCUAAGGUGGGUAGUUCUUAAUAAAGAUAUGUAGGUUAGUCAGCAGUUGCUUUGUUUAAAAUUUGAGGUGGAGCAUGGGAAGCAUGAACCAGGUAGGAUAUAGGAGACAGUUCUGAGAAAGGGAGAGUCUAAAUCUUGACCCACGUCACCUCCCCGUCAUCUCCUCCAUGGGCCCUUAGAGUGUGGUCUGCGUGAAGCAGAGGA